Long non-coding RNA from Carassius carassius (crucian carp), 584 nucleotides. RefSeq lists it as uncharacterized. Lineage: Eukaryota; Metazoa; Chordata; Actinopteri; Cypriniformes; Cyprinidae. The record is from RefSeq and is a predicted model, not a curated record. The transcript has 3 exons.
UCCGGAUCGAGCCCAUCGCUGAACCUUUGUGGUCUUGAGUGCAGCGCUCUCGUUGAUGAUGACAUCUCUGAUGACAUCGCUUGCUUGAAGAUUUUGGCGGGAAGCAGCAACAAGUUGUUGGCAAUGCUGCAGGUGAAAGAGUGUCGCUCUGUCCUUCCUUCCAAAUACUUCGCUGAGUGCUCCUAGAACAUCCAGGCAGAUGAAGCUUCUCCAUCUGAAGGCUGAAACAUCUUCAACACUCAACGGUGGAGCCGUUUUUCAAUCAUAAGGAGACUCAACACUUACGUUUUUGCACAUUUAAAAACCCCAUGAUCUCCAAACUGGACCUUUUGUUAAUGUAUAUCAGCUUUGACAUCAUUUAUAUGCUAAUGUACUCCUAAACCCUGAGAAAAGGAACUUUUAUGCAUUUGAAACCUUCAACUUCCUGAAUUAAGAAUGUUUUUGUCCAAUAAAAAACUUUAUAGAAUAAAAAUAUUCAUUUUAAAGCAUAUAUAAAAGGCUUGCUUAUGGCAAGAAAUAGCUUUUAGAAAAUCAUGAUUCAUGCCUGUGUCAUAAACUCAAAGCAAAGAAACAAGAAUUUCGUU